Molecule: ribosomal RNA, 469 nt
Filed under: uncultured bacterium
Lineage: Bacteria
Description: partial 16S ribosomal RNA
Rfam family: Bacterial small subunit ribosomal RNA
Source: RNAcentral
GACGAACGCUGGCGGCGUGCUUAACACAUGCAAGUCGAACGGAAAGGCCCUGCUUUUGUGGGGUGCUCGAGUGGCGAACGGGUGAGUAACACGUGAGUAACCUGCCCUUGACUUUGGGAUAACUUCAGGAAACUGGGGCUAAUACCGGAUAGGAGCUCCUGCUGCAUGGUGGGGGUUGGAAAGUUUCGGCGGUUGGGGAUGGACUCGCGGCUUAUCAGCUUGUUGGUGGGGUAGUGGCUUACCAAGGCUUUGACGGGUAGCCGGCCUGAGAGGGUGACCGGCCACAUUGGGACUGAGAUACGGCCCAGACUCCUACGGGAGGCAGCAGUGGGGAAUAUUGCACAAUGGGCGGAAGCCUGAUGCAGCAACGCCGCGUGCGGGAUGACGGCCUUCGGGUUGUAAACCGCUUUCGCCUGUGACGAAGCAUGAGUGACGGUAAGGGGUAAAGAAGCACCGGCUAACUACGUGC